This 305-nucleotide ribosomal RNA is filed under the name uncultured bacterium. RNAcentral describes it as "bacterial SSU rRNA". It matches the Rfam family "Bacterial small subunit ribosomal RNA", at positions 333 to 635 of the family's 1533-position model. The record is from RNAcentral.
GGAGCCCUACGGGGCGCAGCAGUGGGGAAAAUUGGCCAAUGGGCUUACGCCUGAACCAGCCAAGUCGCGUGAGGGAAGACUGCCCUAUGGGUUGUAAACCUCUUUUGUCAGGGAGCAACGCCGGCUACGUGUAGCCGGACUGAGAGUACCUGAAGAAAAAGCAUCGGCUAACUCCGUGCCAGCAGCCGCGGUAAUACGGAGGAUGCGAGCGUUAUCCGGAUUUAUUGGGUUUAAAGGGUGCGUAGGCGGAAUGCCAAGUCAGCGGUAAAAUCGCGGGGCUCAACCUCGCUCCGCCGUUGGAACUG